ACUGAAAUACCAGUUCUCAUAUGAUCACUGAAGUUAAGCAAUGUCAAGCUGGAUCAGUACCUAGAUGGGUGACCACUUGGAAAUAUCAGGUGCU
Acanthosepion pharaonis is the source of this 94-nucleotide non-coding RNA. NCBI's taxonomy places the organism in Eukaryota, Metazoa, Mollusca, Cephalopoda, Sepiida, Sepiidae. The record is from the annotation of a GenBank genome assembly.